RNAcentral lists this ribosomal RNA (468 nucleotides) under uncultured bacterium. RNAcentral's name for it is "partial 16S ribosomal RNA". It matches the Rfam family "Bacterial small subunit ribosomal RNA", at positions 28 to 507 of the family's 1533-position model. The record is from RNAcentral.
GACGAACGCUGGCGGCGUGCUUAACACUUGCAAGUCGAACGGAAAGGCCCUGCUUUUGUGGGGUGCUCGAGUGGCGAACGGGUGAGUAACACGUGAGUAACCUGCCCUUGACUUUGGGAUAACUUCAGGAAACUGGGGCUAAUACCGGAUAGGAGCUCCUGCUGCAUGGUGGGGGUUGGAAAGUUUCGGCGGUUGGGGAUGGACUCGCGGCUUAUCAGCUUGUUGGUGGGGUAGUGGCUUACCAAGGCUUUGACGGGUAGCCGGCCUGAGUGGGUGACCGGCCACAUUGGGACUGAGAUACGGCCCAGACUCCUACGGGAGGCAGCAGUGGGGAAUAUUGCACAAUGGGCGGAAGCCUGAUGCAGCAACGCCGCGUGCGGGAUGACGGCCUUCGGGUUGUAAACCGCUUUCGCCUGUGACGAAGCGUGAGUGACGGUAAUGGGUAAAGAAGCACCGGCUAACUACGUG